GACGAACGCUGGCGGCGUGCCUAAUACAUGCAAGUUGAGCGCUGAAGGUUGGUACUUGUACCAACUGGAUGAGCAGCGAACGGGUGAGUAACGCGUGGGGAAUCUGCCUUUGAGCGGGGGACAACAUUUGGAAACGAAUGCUAAUACCGCAUAAAAACUUUAAACACAAGUUUUAAGUUUGAAAGAUGCAAUUGCAUCACUCAAAGAUGAUCCCGCGUUGUAUUAGCUAGUUGGUGAGGUAAAGGCUCACCAAGGCGAUGAUACAUAGCCGACCUGAGAGGGUGAUCGGCCAAGUUGGGACUGAGACACGGCCCAAACUCCUACGGGAGGCAGCAGUAGGGAAUCUUCGGCAAUGGACGAAAGUCUGACCGAGCAACGCCGCGUGAGUGAAGAAGGUUUUCGGAUCGUAAAACUCUGUUGGUAGAGAAGAACGUUGGUGAGAGUGGAAAGCUCAUCAAGUGACGGUAACUACCCAGAAAGGGACGGCUAACUACGUG
RNAcentral lists this ribosomal RNA (497 nucleotides) under uncultured bacterium. Its description in RNAcentral is "partial 16S ribosomal RNA". It matches the Rfam family "Bacterial small subunit ribosomal RNA", at positions 28 to 507 of the family's 1533-position model. The record is from RNAcentral.